GAGAAAGCUUGCUUUCUUGCUGACGAGCGGCGGACGGGUGAGUAAUGUAUGGGGAUCUGCCCGAUAGAGGGGGAUAACUACUGGAAACGGUGGCUAAUACCGCAUAAUGUCUACGGACCAAAGCAGGGGCUCUUCGGACCUUGCACUAUCGGAUGAACCCAUAUGGGAUUAGCUAGUAGGUGGGGUAAAGGCUCACCUAGGCGACGAUCUCUAGCUGGUCUGAGAGGAUGAUCAGCCACACUGGGACUGAGACACGGCCCAGACUCCUACGGGAGGCAGCAGUGGGGAAUAUUGCACAAUGGGCGCAAGCCUGAUGCAGCCAUGCCGCGUGUAUGAAGAAGGCCUUAGGGUUGUAAAGUACUUUCAGCGGGGAGGAAGGUGAUAAGGUUAAUACCCUUGUCAAUUGACGUACCCGCAGAAGAGCACCG
This 428-nucleotide ribosomal RNA is filed under the name Proteus mirabilis. RNAcentral's name for it is "bacterial SSU rRNA". It matches the Rfam family "Bacterial small subunit ribosomal RNA", at positions 72 to 495 of the family's 1533-position model. Lineage: Bacteria; Pseudomonadati; Pseudomonadota; Gammaproteobacteria; Enterobacterales; Morganellaceae. The record is from RNAcentral.